RNAcentral lists this ribosomal RNA (253 nucleotides) under uncultured bacterium. Its description in RNAcentral is "partial 16S ribosomal RNA". It matches the Rfam family "Bacterial small subunit ribosomal RNA", at positions 524 to 776 of the family's 1533-position model. The record is from RNAcentral.
UACGUAGGGGGCAAGCGUUGUCCGGAUUUAUUGGGCGUAAAGAGCUCGUAGGCGGCUCGUUGCGUCGGCUGUGAAAACCCGCAGCUCAACUGUGGGCUUGCAGCUGAUACGGGCGGGCUGGAGUUCGGUAGGGGAGGCUGGAAUUCCUGGUGUAGCGGUGAAAUGCGCAGAUAUCAGGAGGAACACCGGUGGCGAAGGCGGGUCUCUGGGCCGACACUGACGCUGAGGAGCGAAAGCGUGGGGAGCGAACAGG